AUGAACGCUGGCGGCGUGCCUAACACAUGCAAGUCGAACGGAGAUUACGGACGGAAGUUUUCGGAUGGAAGACUGUAAUUCUUAGUGGCGGACGGGUGAGUAACGCGUGGGCAACCUGCCCUAUACAGGGGGAUAGCAGCUGGAAACGGCUGGUAAGACCGCAUAAGUCGGCGAGACCGCAUGGUUUUGCCGGGAAAUGAGCAAUCAGGUAUAGGAUGGGCCCGCGUCCGAUUAGCCAGUUGGCAGGGUAAAAGCCUACCAAAGCAACGAUCGGUAGCCGGACUGAGAGGUCGGACGGCCACAUUGGGACUGAGACACGGCCCAAACUCCUACGGGAAGCAGCAGUGGGGGAUAUUGCACAAUGGAGGAAACUCUGAUGCAGCGACGCCGCGUGAGUGAAGAAGUAUUUCGGUAUGCAAAGCUCUAUCAGCAGGGAAGAUGAUGACGGUACCUGACUAAGAAGCCCCGGCUAACUACGUG
This 480-nucleotide ribosomal RNA is filed under the name uncultured bacterium. RNAcentral describes it as "partial 16S ribosomal RNA". It matches the Rfam family "Bacterial small subunit ribosomal RNA", at positions 29 to 507 of the family's 1533-position model. The record is from RNAcentral.